Lepidothrix coronata (blue-crowned manakin) is the source of this 838-nucleotide long non-coding RNA. RefSeq lists it as uncharacterized. The transcript has 3 exons. The record is from RefSeq and is a predicted model, not a curated record. NCBI's taxonomy places the organism in Eukaryota, Metazoa, Chordata, Aves, Passeriformes, Pipridae.
CGUUCAGAUUCUACAGUUGGACGAGCAGUGUGGAGCGGGCUGAGGGCUUCUCUGCGCGGUGUAUAUGGGGAUUGUAAGCUUGUGUGGCCCAGGAUAGGCUCUUGAAGUGUAGCCUGACAAGGCAGGGUCCUUGCACCACGCAGGGUCCGCUGAGAGAGUUUGGUCUUAAGUGACCAGCUUUGACUGGAAUAAAUAGGAAUUACUGACUGAAGCCUAUAAUAAAAUGAUAUUUUUAGCGUUAGUUUCACGUUUUGUCUCAUUAUGUAGAAUUUGCUCCGUGGCUCUUGGUAAUGCAGAUCAAUAAUUUUAAUUCUGAAUUAAUAAGUCCAUAAUUUUUACUCCAAAGUAAUGGAUCCAUAAUCUUUAUUCCAGAAUCAUGGGCAUCUGUUUGACAAUGCUCGCUCUGAGCUACAAGACGUCCCUUAGGGUUACCUGAAGCAACAGUGCUGCUUUGACAGAAGUAGUUUGUUAGUUCUGUUGUGGUUUCCAUAUGAGUGGAAACCUUCUGCUUUGAAGGUGGCUUUUUUUGUUUUUUUAUUAUUUUUAAUGAAAUCUGAUGCUUUGGAAUGCAGCAAGCACAGGGUGACUUCUCCAGGGAGGGCAGUGAGCGGUGGUGUGUGGUACAGGUAAGGCUCUGAAGGUUUAAUAAGGCUUAAAGCACACGAAGCAUGUUUAGAAUUGAUUGUGGGGGGAAGCUCUGGAGUUCUGGUGUUGGGAUCUGGGUUCUAAAUAUAAAGGUGCUUGAGGGUGUAUAAAAAAUGUGUAAAAGUUUGAGGCAUUUAAUACUGAGGAAACUUUGACACUGUGCUGGGGUUCUGCUUCAUGCUGAGGGUAAACU